Long non-coding RNA from Mobula hypostoma (lesser devil ray), 486 nucleotides. RefSeq lists it as uncharacterized. The record is from RefSeq and is a predicted model, not a curated record. Lineage: Eukaryota; Metazoa; Chordata; Chondrichthyes; Myliobatiformes; Myliobatidae. The transcript has 3 exons.
CGGACUGUUGCAUCACCGCGGGUCACAGAGCGCGAUGCUGACGCGGCCGAGCGGCACUGUCACCCCGGCUCGCCCAGGAGGGAACAGGGGAGGAGAGGUCGGAGGGGUGGGCAAACACGAUGGACAACAACAGCAAGGCCGACGGAAGAGUGCCCGAUAACCCUCACAGGGCCAGCAACCAACCACCAGGCCCGGGACACCAGCCGAGGGCGAGCCCUGGCGGCGCGCCCCCCUGUGAUACCAGCACCUCCCCAGACGGGACCUGUCCAUUCCCAGCGGCAACGUCGGCCACCAGUGCGUCAGGUGAAACGAAGCGGAAGGCAUGAUAGAAAAUACAUUUUUACAUGACAGCGUCUUCCGUAGAACAGGUGCAACGAUGAUCAGUCUUUCUUCCACAAACUGAGCCUGGUGAUAAUAUUGCAAAUAAGUUGUUACAAUCUAGUGUAUUUGUUCGGCGAUGUUGUACUCAUUAAAAAUUGGCAUUUC